UACGAAGGGGGGCUAGCGUUGCUCGGAAUCACUGGGCGUAAAGGGGUGCGUAGGCGGGUCUUUUAAGUCAGGGGUGAAAUCCUGGAGCUCAACUCCAGAACUGCCUUUGAUACUGAGGAUCUUGAGUCCGGGAGAGGUGAGUGGAACUGCGAGUGUAGAGGUGAAAUUCGUAGAUAUUCGCAAGAACACCAGUGGCGAAGGCGGCUCACUGGCCCGGUACUGACGCUGAGGCACGAAAGCGUGGGGGAGCAAACAGG
This 257-nucleotide ribosomal RNA is filed under the name uncultured bacterium. RNAcentral's name for it is "partial 16S ribosomal RNA". It matches the Rfam family "Bacterial small subunit ribosomal RNA", at positions 524 to 776 of the family's 1533-position model. The record is from RNAcentral.